ACCUGCCCACUGAUUAAUUGAAUGGCCGCAGUAUUUUGACUGUGCAAAGGUAGCAUAAUCAUUAGUUUUUUAAUUAAAAGCUUGUAUGAAGGGUUGGACGAGGUAAAAUCUGUCUCUAUUUAAUUUAUUUUAGAAUUUAAUUUUUAAGUUAAAAAGCUUAAAUUAUUAUAAAAGACGAGAAGACCCUAUAGAUCUUUAUAUUGUUAUAAAUAAUUUUAGUUAGGAAUAUUUUAUUUUUUAUUUAUAUUAAUAUUUUAUUGGGGUAAUAAAAAGAUUAGAAAAAUUCUUUUUAAAGUUUAAUACUAAUUAGUAAUUGUUUGAUCCAAUAUUUUUGAUUAUAAGAUUAAGUUACCUUAGGGAUAACAGCGUAAUUUUUUUUGAGAGUUCAUAUCGAUAAAAAAGUUUGCGACCUCGAUGUUGGAUUAAAAAUUGUUCUAGGUGCAGAAGUUUAGAAAUUUGGUCUGUUCGACCAUUAAAUUUUU
Molecule: ribosomal RNA, 482 nt
Filed under: Copelatus sp. MB008
Lineage: Eukaryota; Metazoa; Arthropoda; Insecta; Coleoptera; Dytiscidae
Description: partial 16S ribosomal RNA
Rfam family: Bacterial large subunit ribosomal RNA
Source: RNAcentral